This 51-nucleotide transfer RNA is filed under the name Rotaria rotatoria. Its description in RNAcentral is "tRNA-Asp". Lineage: Eukaryota; Metazoa; Rotifera; Eurotatoria; Philodinida; Philodinidae. The record is from RNAcentral.
AGGGAUAAAGUUUUUAAAGCGUUUGCUUGUCAUGCAAGAGAAUUUUCUCUA